GUCAUUUAUCCCAUUUGUCAUGUAUUAUUUUAAAAUGCAAUAUUAACUUUUUUUUUCACAUUGUGCAGCUGUGCAUCACAGCUGGUUGUGGUCAGUAUGCUGUGACAUCACAGGUGGUUGUGGUCAAUAUGCUGUGACAUCACAGCUAAUUGUGGUCAGUAUGCUGUGACAUCACAGCUGGUUGUGGUCAGCAUGCUGUGACAUCACAGCUAAUUGUGGUCAGUAUGCUGUGACAUCACAGCUGGUUGUGGUCAGCAUGCUGUGACAUCACAGCUGGUUGUGGUCAGCAUGCUGUGACGUCACAGCUAAUUGUGGUCAGUAUGCUGUGACAUCACAGGUGGUUGUGGUCAGUAUGCUGUGAUGUCACAGGUGGUUGUGGUCAGUAUGCUGUGAUGUCACAGGUGGUUGUGGUCAGCAUGCUGUGACAUCACAGCUAACUGUGGUCAGCAUGCUGUGACAUCACAGCUAAUUGUGGUCAGCAUGCUGUGACAUCACAGCUAACUGGUCAGCAUGCUGUGACAUCACAGCUAAUUGUGGUCAGUAUGCUGUGACAUCACAGGUGGUUGUGGUCAGUAUGCUGUGAUGUCACAGGUGGUUGUGGUCAGUAUGCUGUGAUGUCACAGGUGGUUGUGGUCAGCAUGCUGUGACAUCACAGGUGGUUGUGGUCAGCAUGCUGUGACAUCACAGCUAACUGUGGUCAGCAUGCUGUGACAUCACAGGUGGUUGUGGUCAGCAUGCUGUGAUGUCACAGGUGGUUGUGGUCAGCAUGCUGUGACAUCACAGCUAACUGUGGUCAGCAUGCUGUGAAAUGCAGUGGCCUUAAUCCAUCUUAAUGCUUAAAAAGAGGAAAGCCUGAUUUACUAACCUGUUUGCUCAAGUCUCUUAUAUUUGGAUCAUUCCAAAUCAUUUUCUGAGGCCAGUGUUUCCAAUUCCUGAAGGCACGAUCAAAUUUCUUCUAUUCACUGUAUUUACUUCUAUUUUUUCUUUCAU
Lates calcarifer (barramundi perch) is the source of this 990-nucleotide long non-coding RNA. RefSeq lists it as uncharacterized. NCBI's taxonomy places the organism in Eukaryota, Metazoa, Chordata, Actinopteri, Centropomidae. The transcript has 3 exons. The record is from RefSeq and is a predicted model, not a curated record.